GCUCUAUGAUGAUAAUCCUAAGGCUUGUUUCUCAAGACAUUCGCAGUGGCCGACUAAGAACUUUCGCCUUCGCCAAGCUUGAGAGUUAAUGCUGCUUUAUCCUUCCUUGGAUGUCUGAGAGU
This is a non-coding RNA of Lupinus angustifolius (narrow-leaved blue lupine), 122 nucleotides long. Lineage: Eukaryota; Viridiplantae; Streptophyta; Magnoliopsida; Fabales; Fabaceae. The record is from Rfam.